GGCGUCAAUUAUGAAGAAUAUUCAGAGUCAGAAGAACAAUUUCAAACUCUUAUUGCUCUUCUCGUGGAAAUGUACACUCAAAAGUGGUUUCUUUUUUUUUAGAGGGUUCUGUAAGGAUUGUGAGCUUGUGACAUGGCUUUUUGAUUUGAUAGAAAAAUUGAAGAUAAUGCUUGUUGAACAUUUUUUAAGUGCUGUUGGGGGUGUUAUAAUGGGAUGAACAGUUUAUCAUGAUGAAAGUUGAUGUGCAAAUCAUUGUUGGUUGGCAUUUGGCAAGUUGGUACAUAUUUGGAAAUUGACUCAAAUUUUUCUCUUAUUUCUAUCAGAUAACAUCACACAUAUCAUAAUCUUUCACAAUUUCAUGGGACAAUGAAUAUCUGCUUAAAGAUUACCAUUUUCAUUUAUUCUUCUAUUUUUCAGGUAUCU
Molecule: unclassified non-coding RNA, 423 nt
Filed under: Hevea brasiliensis (rubber tree)
Lineage: Eukaryota; Viridiplantae; Streptophyta; Magnoliopsida; Malpighiales; Euphorbiaceae
Source: RNAcentral